Molecule: non-coding RNA, 495 nt
Organism: Musa acuminata subsp. malaccensis (wild Malaysian banana)
Lineage: Eukaryota; Viridiplantae; Streptophyta; Magnoliopsida; Zingiberales; Musaceae
Source: RefSeq, a predicted model, not a curated record
UUCUCUUUUGGUGAAUAAAUAAUUUAGUGCAGUAUUACUUAUUGAUAAUUUGGUGAAUAAAUAAUAUGUUGGAAGUCCCUGUGGUAGCUCAUAGUUCUUUUUAAACGAACUAAAACCCUAAACCUCUCGCUGCGGCGUUUUCCUCGGUGAACGGCGGCUGCCGCGUCUUCCUCUCCAUCGGCGAAACAGCGUCUCCGCCCCCCCGAGUGGGAUUACCAAGCAGUAGGGAGUUAUUUGAUGCUAAAUUGGAGAAUAAAACUUACAGGAUUAUUACUCGAGUUUAGGAAAGAUUCCCAAAAAACAUUGCUACCAGUUGUCCAAAAGCCUGAUGGGAAGAAAAAUUUGAUGGUUUGUGAUCAGAUUUCUGUAAACAAUUUCUGCUGCUAAAUAGAUCUCUAGGUCUUUGUUUAUCUGUUAUAUCUCCUCUGACUACUCUAUGUUAUAUUUGAUAUUACUGAUUCUGAGGUAUCAAAUUUAGUUUAAUAUUUAAAUUUU